GGGGGCGAUCGGUUUCGACGGGGGUGGACGGUAACCAGGCGGCACGUCGCGGCUUCCCGUCGCCGCGUUAGAAAGGCGGGGAAAAAUAAACGCGGAUAACUACGCGUACGCUUGCUAACUAGUUAGCAAGUCGGCCGCCGGCGGAGCCUUCCCGCGGCGCCCCGGCCGGCCGUCGGAAUAGCGGGAUAAGCCGAGGUGGGGGCCCCCUCCGCCGAGGACGAAAAUCCUAACGGGGGCUGGCGUAAGGCCGACCCGCCCGCGGGCCAAGUCUUGCGCGAGAUCAAUACGCGGGACAAGCGUGUAGAGGCCUGGCAGCCGCACUUCCGGACGCGGGUUCGAUUCCCGCCGCCUCCAAUA
Molecule: transfer-messenger RNA, 357 nt
Filed under: bacterium
Lineage: Bacteria
Also listed under: 1 other name
Description: WVWN01 sp020356085 Standard tmRNA
Rfam family: transfer-messenger RNA
About the family: Bacterial tmRNA, also known as 10Sa RNA or SsrA, is named for its dual tRNA and mRNA-like properties. Its role is to liberate the mRNA from a stalled ribosome.
Source: RNAcentral